RNAcentral lists this ribosomal RNA (430 nucleotides) under uncultured bacterium. RNAcentral describes it as "partial 16S ribosomal RNA". It matches the Rfam family "Bacterial small subunit ribosomal RNA", at positions 354 to 796 of the family's 1533-position model. The record is from RNAcentral.
GUGGGGAAUAUUGCACAAUGGGCGAAAGCCUGAUGCAGCAACGCCGCGUGAGGGAUGACGGCCUUCGGGUUGUAAACCUCUUUUAGCAGGGAAGAAGCGUGAGUGACGGUACCUGCAGAAAAAGCACCGGCUAACUACGUGCCAGCAGCCGCGGUAAUACGUAGGGUGCAAGCGUUGUCCGGAAUUAUUGGGCGUAAAGAGCUCGUAGGCGGCUUGUCGCGUCUGCUGUGAAAACCCGGGGCUCAACCACGGGCCCGCAGUGGGUACGGGCAGGCUAGAGUGCGGUAGGGGAGAUUGGAAUUCCUGGUGUAGCGGUGGAAUGCGCAGAUAUCAGGAGGAACACCGAUGGCGAAGGCAGAUCUCUGGGCCGUAACUGACGCUGAGGAGCGAAAGCAUGGGGAGCGAACAGGAUUAGAAACCCGGGUAGUCC